CAGUUCGGAUUGUAGGCUGAAACUCGCCUACAUUUGAAGCUGGNGUUACUAGUAAUCGCAGAUCAGAAUGCUGCGGUGAAUGCGUUCCCGGGUCUUGUACACACCGCCCGUCACACCACGGAAGUUGGGGGCGCCCGAAGCCACUUAGCUAACCCUUUUGGGAAGCGAGUGUCGAAGGUGAAAUCAAUAACUGGGGUGAAGUCGUAACAAGGUAUC
Molecule: ribosomal RNA, 216 nt
Filed under: uncultured bacterium
Lineage: Bacteria
Description: partial 16S ribosomal RNA
Rfam family: Bacterial small subunit ribosomal RNA
Source: RNAcentral